This 1231-nucleotide ribosomal RNA is filed under the name Candidatus Erwinia dacicola. RNAcentral describes it as "bacterial SSU rRNA". It matches the Rfam family "Bacterial small subunit ribosomal RNA", at positions 219 to 1445 of the family's 1533-position model. Lineage: Bacteria; Pseudomonadati; Pseudomonadota; Gammaproteobacteria; Enterobacterales; Erwiniaceae. The record is from RNAcentral.
CAUCGGAUGUGCCCAGAUGGGAUUAGCUAGUAGGUGGGGUAACGGCUCACCUAAGCGACGAUCCCUAGCUGGUCUGAGAGGAUGACCAGCCACACUGGAACUGAGACACGGUCCAGACUCUUACGGGAGGCAGCAGUGGGGAAUAUUGCACAAUGGGCGCAAGCCUGAUGCAGCCAUGCCGCGUGUAUGAAGAAGGCCUUCGGGUUGUAAAGUACUUUCAGUGGGGAGGAAGGCGAAGAGGUUAAUAACCUUUUUGAUUGACGUUACCUGCAGAAGAAGCACCGGCUAACUCCGUGCCAGCAGCCGCGGUAAUACGGAGGGUGCAAGCGUUAAUCGGAAUUACUGGGCGUAAAGCGCACGCAGGCGGUCUGUCAAGUCGGAUGUGAAAUCCCCGGGCUCAACCUGGGAACUGCAUUCGAAACUGGUAGGCUAGAGUCUUGUAGAGGGGGGUAGAAUUCCAGGUGUAGCGGUGAAAUGCGUAGAAAUCUGGAGGAAUACCGGUGGCGAAGGCGGCCCCCUGGACAGAGACUGACGCUCAGGUGCGAAAGCGUGGGGAGCAAACAGGAUUAGAUACCCUGGUAGUCCACGCCGUAAACGAUGUCGACUUGGAGGUUGUGCCCUUGAGGCGUAGCUUCCGGAGCUAACGCGUUAAGUCGACCGCCUGGGGAGUACGGCCGCAAGGUUAAAACUCAAAUGAAUUGACGGGGGCCCGCACAAGCGGUGGAGCAUGUGGUUUAAUUCGAUGCAACGCGAAGAACCUUACCUGGCCUUGACAUGCACGGAAUUUAGCAGAGAUGCCUUAGUGCCUUCGGGAACCGUGAGACAGGUGCUGCAUGGCUGUCGUCAGCUCGUGUUGUGAAAUGUUGGGUUAAGUCCCGCAACGAGCGCAACCCUUAUCCUUUGUUGCCAGCACGUAAAGGUGGGAACUCAAAGGAGACUGCCGGUGAUAAACCGGAGGAAGGUGGGGAUGACGUCAAGUCAUCAUGCCCUUACGGCCAGGGCUACACACGUGCUACAAUGGCGCAUACAAAGAGAAGCGACCUCGCGAGAGCAAGCGGACCUCAUAAAGUGCGUCGUAGUUCGGAUCGGAGUCUGCAACUCGACUCCGUGAAGUCGGAAUCGCUAGUAAUCGUAGAUCAGAAGCUACGGUGAAUACGUUCCCGGGCCUUGUACACACCGCCCGUCACACCAUGGGAGUGGGUUGCAAAAGAAGCAGGUAGCUAACUUCGGA